Molecule: ribosomal RNA, 216 nt
Filed under: Glomeromycotina sp.
Lineage: Eukaryota; Fungi; Glomeromycota
Description: partial small subunit ribosomal RNA
Rfam family: Eukaryotic small subunit ribosomal RNA (bases 40-216)
Source: RNAcentral
GGGUCAGUAGGUUGGUCGUGCCACCGGUACGUACUGGUCUCACUGAUUCCUCCUUCCUGAAGAACCGUAAUGCCAUUAAUUUGGUGUUGCGGGGAAACAGGACUGUUACUUUGAAAAAAUUAGGGUGUUUAGAGCAAGCUAACGCUUGAAUACAUUAGCAUGGAAUAAUGAAAUAGGACGAUCGAUCCUAUUUUGUUGGUUUCUAGGAUUGGCGUA